RNAcentral lists this ribosomal RNA (229 nucleotides) under uncultured bacterium. Its description in RNAcentral is "partial 16S ribosomal RNA". It matches the Rfam family "Bacterial small subunit ribosomal RNA", at positions 568 to 796 of the family's 1533-position model. The record is from RNAcentral.
AGUGUAGGCAGCUAUUUAAGUCGGAUGUGAAAGCCCUGGGCUCAACCUGGGAAUUGCAUUCGAAACUGGGUAGCUAGAGUUUGGUAGAGGUAAGUGGAAUUCCGGGUGUAGCGGUGAAAUGCGUAGAUAUCCGGAGGAACAUCAGUGGCGAAGGCGGCUUACUGGACCAAAACUGACGCUGAGGCUCGAAAGCGUGGGGAGCAAACAGGAUUAGAUACCCUGGUAGUCC